CUCCCACCUCUCCUGGGGCCCGAAGUCACCUCUGAACACAAGGGUGCUGAGUCACGGGCGAAGCAGUGAGGACACCCCUUCUGACUGCAGUCCUCCGUGACUCAGAGCAGUGGGACAGGGGCUGAGUCAGAUGUGCUCUGGGCUUACAAGACCUUGGCAGGGGCUUGUGACUGUCACUCAGCAGGCUCUGUGGGUGGCAGCUGACAGGGUCCCCUCUUACCUCAGUCCUCUGUGGAUGUCCCCAUCAUCCCUGUUUACUCUCUGACACACAGCCCUGGCAGGAGUGGGAGCCAAAAGCCUUUGGAUCCGAAGCAGGGAAAGUGUGAGCUAGAGAGUGCUGGCUUUGAGACGAGGGGGCUGCUCCACCUAGGCUGCAUUUCAUCUGUCCUAAAAACACAUUUGUUUUCACACUUUAAUAUCCCUGAAAUUGGAACCUGUCUAACAAUUGGUGGCAUAUCCUAGUUUAAUCAGCAGCAUUUUCCCCCUUCAUGGUAAAAUAAUGAUUCCUUUAAAAAUCACUGGUAUCCUAGAUUUGAUGAGACUCGUACUUUGCAUCAACCUGGGAGGCAAGGCCAACCUCUCCACCCAGGGAGGGGUUUGAAUGGGAAGACAGUUGUCCCUUCCAGCCCCAGGACACCAGCCACAGGGCUAGGAGCAGCCUUCCCUAAGGGGCCCAGGAAACCAAUGCCCCUCUCCUCCCAGGAGCUGCUCUUAGACCCUCAGGUGGGAGUCCUGAGACAGGGCUGGGGUGGUUGGCUGGGAGGCACCACAGACAGGGGCCUGGCCUGCAGCCCUUCCCCUCAGUAUCCUGCCUCUACCUCUAGGCCAGAGUCACCAAUGUGUCCUACUACACUCAGGAAAGGGGUGGACAGGCCCUGCCCAUGAAUGCCAGGUUCUGGUUUCCAAGACUUUAUCUCUCAGGGCAUGGCCAGGAAGCAGGAGACCCACCGGCAAUCAGCAGAGCACCUGCCCACUGUGGCCCCACUCUGAGCCAGGUGAUGCUGACGCAGCUGGGCCACAGGGCAAGGGGCUGGUCUGGCCAGACCUGCUGCUGCCCAGGGGACACACCAGGGGACCACAACACACACAGCUUGGCUAGAGGGACCACCGUCCAGCCCCUCAUCUCACAGAGCAGACGGACAGCAGCUGUGGCACGCCAAGCCCCUACAAUGCCACCGGCACCAGCUGGUCUCUGGAGCUAGAACGCCCAGGGGCUUCCUGGGACCAGAGUUGACCUUGGGCUUGCGGAAUGACAGUUUCAGGCCCUCCUUGAAGAAGAGCGAAAUGGAUAUCCAUGCCUUCCUGUAGUCUACCCCCCCAAUGAAAACAUUCUCUCUUGAUUUUUGUCUGAAACAGUUCUUUGUUGUCUAAGACUAGGAGGGGACAGAGGUGAGAGGGCGGUGGCAGUGGGAGGGGCCAGGGCCCUUGCAGGGAACAGAGGAAUGAAACAUGCUGCCAAGGGUAGAGACUGUCAUCACCGGCCUUUACAAGGCGCACGGAAGUGCGGUGCAGGGUUACACAGGGUGCUGUUCAUAAGGGCCCAACCCCGGCAGUGCCUCCUGAACUCAGCCCAGGGGCUGGGGUCGCCCAUGCCCUCCUCCAAGGGGGAGCAGCUGCUGCCACCCUUGGCGCACGUUGUCCCAUGACCUGGAGUGGCCUCCCAUCCCGUGCAGUGGUGACCACUCGUCCCUCAAGGCCCAGCCCAGAUGCCACCUCCUCUCGGAAGCCUGCUCUGAGCCUUCCAGCCCAGGUCUCCUGCCUUUCCUGCACCGCCCAAAGCCUGCUCGGAAACGACCUCCUGUGGUGGAAGAAACCCUCCACGCCUUCUGACUCUGGCUUCCUUCUCCAAA
Long non-coding RNA from Callithrix jacchus (white-tufted-ear marmoset), 1850 nucleotides. The record is from Ensembl. Lineage: Eukaryota; Metazoa; Chordata; Mammalia; Primates; Cebidae.